Molecule: ribosomal RNA, 1587 nt
Filed under: Coprobacillus sp. AM28-15LB
Lineage: Bacteria; Bacillati; Bacillota; Erysipelotrichia; Erysipelotrichales; Coprobacillaceae
Description: bacterial SSU rRNA
Rfam family: Bacterial small subunit ribosomal RNA
Source: RNAcentral
AAUGGAGAGUUUGAUCCUGGCUCAGGAUGAACGCUGGCGGCGUGCCUAAUACAUGCAAGUCGAACGCUUCACUUCGGUGAAGAGUGGCGAACGGGUGAGUAAUACAUAAGUAACCUGGCAUCUACAGGGGGAUAACUGAUGGAAACGUCAGCUAAGACCGCAUAGGUGUAGAGAUCGCAUGAACUCUAUAUGAAAAGUGCUACGGGACUGGUAGAUGAUGGACUUAUGGCGCAUUAGCUGGUUGGUAGGGUAACGGCCUACCAAGGCGACGAUGCGUAGCCGACCUGAGAGGGUGACCGGCCACACUGGGACUGAGACACGGCCCAGACUCCUACGGGAGGCAGCAGUAGGGAAUUUUCGGCAAUGGGGGAAACCCUGACCGAGCAACGCCGCGUGAAGGAAGAAGUAAUUCGUUAUGUAAACUUCUGUCAUAGAGGAAGAACGGUGGAUAUAGGGAAUGAUAUCCAAGUGACGGUACUCUAUAAGAAAGCCACGGCUAACUACGUGCCAGCAGCCGCGGUAAUACGUAGGUGGCGAGCGUUAUCCGGAAUUAUUGGGCGUAAAGAGGGAGCAGGCGGCACUAAGGGUCUGUGGUGAAAGAUCGAAGCUUAACUUCGGUAAGCCAUGGAAACCGUAGAGCUAGAGUGUGUGAGAGGAUCGUGGAAUUCCAUGUGUAGCGGUGAAAUGCGUAGAUAUAUGGAGGAACACCAGUGGCGAAGGCGACGAUCUGGCGCAUAACUGACGCUCAGUCCCGAAAGCGUGGGGAGCAAAUAGGAUUAGAUACCCUAGUAGUCCACGCCGUAAACGAUGAGUACUAAGUGUUGGGAGUCAAAUCUCAGUGCUGCAGUUAACGCAAUAAGUACUCCGCCUGAGUAGUACGUUCGCAAGAAUGAAACUCAAAGGAAUUGACGGGGGCCCGCACAAGCGGUGGAGCAUGUGGUUUAAUUCGAAGCAACGCGAAGAACCUUACCAGGUCUUGACAUCGAUCUAAAGGCUCCAGAGAUGGAGAGAUAGCUAUAGAGAAGACAGGUGGUGCAUGGUUGUCGUCAGCUCGUGUCGUGAGAUGUUGGGUUAAGUCCCGCAACGAGCGCAACCCCUGUUGCCAGUUGCCAGCAUUAAGUUGGGGACUCUGGCGAGACUGCCGGUGACAAGCCGGAGGAAGGCGGGGAUGACGUCAAAUCAUCAUGCCCCUUAUGACCUGGGCUACGCACGUGCUACAAUGGACAGAGCAGAGGGAAGCGAAGCCGCGAGGUGGAGCGAAACCCAUAAAACUGUUCUCAGUUCGGNNNNNNNNNNAAGCCGCGAGGUGGAGCGAAACCCAUAAAACUGUUCUCAGUUCGGACUGCAGUCUGCAACUCGACUGCACGAAGAUGGAAUCGCUAGUAAUCGCGAAUCAGCAUGUCGCGGUGAAUACGUUCUCGGGCCUUGUACACACCGCCCGUCACACCAUGAGAGUCGGUAACACCCGAAGCCGGUGGCCUAACCGCAAGGAAGGAGCUGUCUAAGGUGGGACUGAUGAUUGGGGUGAAGUCGUAACAAGGUAUCCCUACGGGAACGUGGGGAUGGAUCACCUCCUUUCUAGGGAGA